UACGGAGGAUGCAAGCGUUAUCCGGAAUGAUUGGGCGUAAAGCGUCCGCAGGUGGCUAUGUAAGUCUGCUGUUAAAGAGUGAGGCUCAACCUCAUAAAAGCAGUGGAAACUACAUGGCUAGAGUGCGUUCGGGGCAGAGGGAAUUCCUGGUGUAGCGGUGAAAUGCGUAGAUAUCAGGAGGAACACCGGUGGCGAAGGCGCUCAUCUGGCCCAAUACUGACGCUGAGGCGCGAAAGCUAGGGGAGCAAACGGG
RNAcentral lists this ribosomal RNA (253 nucleotides) under uncultured bacterium. RNAcentral's name for it is "partial 16S ribosomal RNA". It matches the Rfam family "Bacterial small subunit ribosomal RNA", at positions 524 to 776 of the family's 1533-position model. The record is from RNAcentral.